CAACUUUCAGCAACGGAUCUCUUGGCUCUCGCAUCGAUGAAGAACGCAGCGAAAUGCGAUAAGUAAUGUGAAUUGCAGAAUUCAGUGAAUCACCGAAUCUUUGAACGCACCUUGCGCUCCUUGGUAUUCCGAGGAGCAUGCCUGUUUGAGUGUCAUUA
This 158-nucleotide ribosomal RNA is filed under the name uncultured Cortinarius. RNAcentral's name for it is "5.8S ribosomal RNA". It matches the Rfam family "5.8S ribosomal RNA". Rfam says of the family: 5.8S ribosomal RNA (5.8S rRNA) is a component of the large subunit of the eukaryotic ribosome. It is transcribed by RNA polymerase I as part of the 45S precursor that also contains 18S and 28S rRNA. Functionally, it is thought that 5.8S rRNA may be involved in ribosome translocation. Lineage: Eukaryota; Fungi; Basidiomycota; Agaricomycetes; Agaricales; Cortinariaceae. The record is from RNAcentral.